RNAcentral lists this ribosomal RNA (708 nucleotides) under uncultured Nitrospira sp. RNAcentral describes it as "bacterial SSU rRNA". It matches the Rfam family "Bacterial small subunit ribosomal RNA", at positions 8 to 710 of the family's 1533-position model. Lineage: Bacteria; Pseudomonadati; Nitrospirota; Nitrospiria; Nitrospirales; Nitrospiraceae. The record is from RNAcentral.
AGAGUUUGAUCCUGGCUCAGAACGAACGCUGGCGGCGCGCCUAAUACAUGCAAGUCGAGCGAGAAGGUGUAGCAAUACACUUGUAAAGCGGCGAACGGGUGAGGAAUACAUGGGUAAUCUACCAUCAAGUGGGGAAUAACCAACCGAAAGGUUGGCUAAUACCGCGUACGCCUCCGAGUCUUCGGGUUCGGAGGGAAAGCUGCACUGAGAGUGCAGCGCUCUUCGAUGAGCUCAUGUCCUAUCAGCUUGUUGGUAGGGUAACGGCCUACCAAGGCUUUGACGGGUAGCUGGUCUGAGAGGACGAUCAGCCACACUGGCACUGCGACACGGGCCAGACUCCUACGGGAGGCAGCAGUAAGGAAUAUUGCGCAAUGGGCGAAAGCCUGACGCAGCGACGCCGCGUGGGGGAUGAAGGUCUUCGGAUUGUAAACCCCUUUCGGGAGGGAAGAUGGAGCGAGCAAUCGUUCGGACGGUACCUCCAGAAGCAGCCACGGCCAACUUCGUGCCAGCAGCCGCGGUAAUACGAAGGUGGCAAGCGUUGUUCGGAUUCACUGGGCGUACAGGGUGUGUAGGCGGUUUGGUAAGCCUUCUGUUAAAGCUUCGGGCCCAACCCGGAAAGCGCAGAGGGUACUGCCAGGCUAGAGGGUGGGAGAGGAGCGCGGAAUUCCCGGUGUAGCGGUGAAAUGCGUAGAGAUCGGGAGGAAGGCC